UACGUAGGGUGCAAGCGUUGUCCGGAAUUAUUGGGCGUAAAGGGCUCGUAGGCGGUCUGUCGCGUCGGCUGUGAAAACCCGGAGCUCAACUCCGGGCCUGCAGUCGAUACGGGCAAACUGGAGUGUUGCAGGGGAGACUGGAAUUCCUGGUGUAGCGGUGAAAUGCGCAGAUAUCAGGAGGAACACCGGUGGCGAAGGCGGGUCUCUGGGCAACAACUGACGCUGAGGAGCGAAAGCGUGGGGAGCGAACAGG
This 253-nucleotide ribosomal RNA is filed under the name uncultured bacterium. Its description in RNAcentral is "partial 16S ribosomal RNA". It matches the Rfam family "Bacterial small subunit ribosomal RNA", at positions 524 to 776 of the family's 1533-position model. The record is from RNAcentral.